Molecule: transfer RNA, 73 nt
Filed under: Ailuropoda melanoleuca (giant panda)
Lineage: Eukaryota; Metazoa; Chordata; Mammalia; Carnivora; Ursidae
Rfam family: tRNA
About the family: Transfer RNA (tRNA) molecules are approximately 80 nucleotides in length.
Source: Rfam by way of RNAcentral
GCUCGGCUGGCUCAGUUGGUAGAGCAUGCAACUCUUGAUCUCAGGGUCAUGAGUUCGAGCCCCAUGCAUGGUA